This is a long non-coding RNA of Bradysia coprophila, 366 nucleotides long. The record is from RefSeq and is a predicted model, not a curated record. NCBI's taxonomy places the organism in Eukaryota, Metazoa, Arthropoda, Insecta, Diptera, Sciaridae.
GGAAACUGUGGAUAGCUCUCGGGAAGGUGCAUUGACAUUUUUCCGUUAUUGUAGAAAAGUCUAGACCCUAACCUUCUAAAACUAGUAUUUUUAUGGGUCUAUCAAAAAUAAAAGUUUUGUAGAGAAAUAAUAUACUUCGUUUUACUCGAAAACUUAGCGACGUAUAAAUAAUUUACGCUGUGACGAAACUGUAAUAAAUCAUGAACAAGAUGAAGCAGUGCUCAGAGAAUUUUAACGAUCUACCCCCUAACUAGUAAUAACAGCAGGUAAAUCGCCUAGAAAUAUAUUCACUAAAAUCCUUCUUGUAGAAUUUCCACCGAUUUUCGUCAUUUGUUACACAUUUCGCCAUUGAGCGACCUAAAUCGU